This 361-nucleotide ribosomal RNA is filed under the name uncultured soil bacterium. RNAcentral's name for it is "bacterial SSU rRNA". It matches the Rfam family "Bacterial small subunit ribosomal RNA", at positions 26 to 361 of the family's 1533-position model. The record is from RNAcentral.
AGAACGAACGCUGGCGGCGUGGAUUAGGCAUGCAAGUCGAACGCGAAAGAGGGAGCAAUCCCUCGAGUAGAGUGGCGAACGGGUGAGUAACGCGUGAAGAACCUGCCUUCAACAGGGGGAUAACACUCCCAACGGGGUGCUAAUACCGCAUGAGACCACGGGGUCGCAUGGCCCUGAGGUCAAAGGUGGCCUCUAUUUAUAAGCUACGGUUGAAGAUGGCUUCGCGUCCCAUUAGCUAGUUGGCGGUGUAAAAGCCACAAGGCGACGAUGGGUAGCUGGGUCUAGAGAGGUAUGGUCAGCCACACGUGGGACUGAGAGUACCGGCCCAAGACCUCCGUAACGGGAGCCAGGCAGGUACGAG